Dermacentor albipictus is the source of this 1036-nucleotide non-coding RNA. The record is from RefSeq and is a predicted model, not a curated record. NCBI's taxonomy places the organism in Eukaryota, Metazoa, Arthropoda, Arachnida, Ixodida, Ixodidae.
GACAGUUGCUUGCGAAGCCGCAGCUGACGAGGAGUGAAGCAGAAAUCGUCCUAUCCGCCGAAAAUGGCAGAAGGGAGCGUGCAGCAGAUAAUGAGCGACACCGCUGAAGGAAGCGUACAUGCGAUGGGAGGACAGUCUUAUCGCCCAAGAAACCGGCCACGGUUUAUUUCGUGAGACCGCGGCGGAGCGAAAGGGCAUGAACCAGAGCAUUGCCGGUUCCAUUUGGCAACGUGAUUCAAGUGCCAACAGCGGGGUCAUAUCGCCCGAGCCUGCUCCCGUCGGGAGACAGAGUUCAUUGAAGGGCCACCAGGGCUGCCGCGCCAGGUAUACAUAGGCUAUCGUCUCGGGAGGUGGACACAACUGUGGGCACGCACGGUAUAUUCGCGUUGGAAGCAGCGAACAGUCAUGUCAGACACGCCGGCAUCACGCAACCCAUUGUGCGCACGUUGAAUUGUGGGGGCGUUCCGGUGAACAUGCAGGUCGAUACAGGGACACUGGUGUCGGUGAUCACGUGGCCCACCUAUAAGCAAAGCAAAACAGUGUGGCCCAAGCUGCGUGGUUCGCCGUUGAAACUGACUUGCUUCCUGGGAAGGCUUUUUGUUCGUGGACAAUUCAACCUUAAGGUUUCAUGCGGAAACCGGUCGACGGACGGAUCCCUGCCAGUCCUCGGUUGCUACGGCCCCAGCCUGUGCGGGCCCGACCUGGUCCAGGCGUUCAACAUGCUUCAGGCGCCAGUAAUGAACGUGAAAGCGACAGAGUUCAACACUGCCGGACGACUGGGAGACGGCGAAGGUGAUUCCAGUCCACAAAUUCCUGUUCGCUGCUCACUUGAAAGAACCACAAAAUCUAACUUACUUUCUUUUAUAACCAAGGCAAUAUCGGCAAAAGGCAAAGGUAACUAGGAGAAACAGACAAGGAGACCAAAGUCGACGAAGAACUGAUACGUGCUUUCAAAAAUCACAACAUUACUCACAGCAAUUCGACUACUGUUACCAUCACAGUUUCUACAAAAGCCUAAAUACUCAAGUACUAAAUA